CAGCAGUAUAGACGAGAACUCGAAUACAGUCGUAAUCCGGCUCCUGAAUUUUCAUGAGCAUAAAGCAUAAUCAUCGUCGAGAGUAUAAGGUGUAAAUAUUGAUUGGUCAGUGAUCGAGGAUUGUAUUACAUUUCGAUUGAGUAUACUAACAGUUAAAUUGAUAAUGACACGGGAAGCCUCGUGACGACGCAACUGAAUUUGUCCCCGAUACAGAGCUCAAGCGACAAAAAUCCUUAUGCGUUUUCACGUCCGACCGACGAUUCGCUCAACAGUUCAGUGCUUGCAUUCGCUACUUUACAUCGAGACAAUAUGGACGCUCGCUAGGAGUUUCUGACUGUCGUAAAUUUGAUAAAGAAUAUAAUUGCCACGUCGUUGUGAAAAAUUUUAUACGAACGAAGAAACAUAACUUCAACAGUCGACGAGUAAACGUGUGUGAAUACGGGAGUCGUGGAAACGUUGAAAGUUGGCGAAAAUGUUGACCGCUGCGGCUAACACGCUGUCAAAUAACACUGGCGGCUCGUACAGCAAUGAUCGACCAUCCAAUGCCGGAGAUACCGAGAUUGGUACGGAUCCAGCUUCAGGAGGAUUUUUUCAUUCCGAUUACAAAAAACAUGACGACCUGAAACAAAUGUUGGACAGCAGCAAAGAUGGAUUAAAGCUUGAGGCCAUGAAACGGAUUAUUGGGAUGGUGGCCAAGGGACGCGACGCUUCUGACCUUUUUCCAGCAGUAGUGAAGAACGUGGUGUCAAAGAAUAUCGAAGUGAAAAAAUUGGUGUAUGUCUAUUUGGUGCGGUACGCCGAGGACCAACAAGAUUUGGCACUUUUGUCAAUAUCAACGUUUCAACGAGCGUUGAAAGAUCCAAAUCAAUUAAUCAGAGCGAGUGCUCUAAGAGUAUUGUCAAGCAUAAGAGUAGCCAUGAUAGUUCCAAUCGUAAUGCUUGCAAUUAAAGAUUCUGCAAGCGACAUGUCACCUUACGUGAGGAAAACAGCGGCUCAUGCGAUCCCCAAAUUGUAUUCUCUGGAUGCUGAACAAAAAGAGGAAUUAAUAAGCGUUUUAGAAAAGUUGCUGUCUGAUAAAACGACCCUCGUUGUCGGCUCGGCUGUUAUGGCCUUUGAAGAAGUUUGCCCUGAACGCAUCGAUCUCAUUCAUAAGAAUUAUAGAAAAUUGUGCAAUCUGCUGGUCGACGUUGACGAGUGGGGACAAGUUGUUAUUGUCAACAUGUUAACCAGAUAUGCCAGAACUCAAUUCGUCAACCCUAAUUUGGAUGACGUGGAGGAGGACGAGAAUCGACCGUUUUAUGAUUCGGAUUCGGAUUCUUCGAACACGAAAAAAGUGAUAUUCGCUCUGGAUGCUGAUCAUCGAUUGCUACUCCGGAACACGAAACCGUUGUUGCAAAGCCGGAAUGCUUCUGUCGUCAUGGCUGUUGCUCAACUAUACCAUCAUGUUGCUCCAAGAAGUGAAGUGAUGAUCGCUGCCAAAGCUCUCAUAAGACUGCUUCGAGGUCAUCGCGAAGUUCAGAGCAUCGUUCUCAACUGUAUUGCCAGCAUAUCCAUCGCGAGAAAGGGAAUGUUUGAGCCUUUCCUCAAAUCUUUUUUCGUCAGAACUUCCGAUCCAACCCACAUAAAAUUACUAAAACUCGAUAUUUUAACGAGUUUGGCAACGGAAACGAGUAUAAGUGUAAUUUUACGAGAGUUUCAAACCUACAUCGCGAGUAGCGACAAGGAAUUUGUUGCUGCUAGCAUUCAAGCGAUCGGACGAUGUGCCAGUAACAUUAAAGAAGUUACCGACACGUGUCUGAACGGAUUAGUCUCUUUGCUGAGUAAUCGUGACGAAGUCGUCGUGGCCGAGAGCGUAGUUGUGAUCAAGAAACUGUUGCAGACCCAGCCGAACGAGCACAAAGAAAUAAUAGCUCGUAUGGCAAAGCUGAUGGAUUUUAUAACCGUGCCACAAGCUCGAGCCUCGAUUUUAUGGCUACUAGGAGAAUAUUCAGAUCGGGUGCCGAAGAUCGCUCCCGACGUGCUUCGAAAAAUGGCUAAAAGUUUCGUCAACGAGAAGGACAUUGUAAAAUUACAAACGUUGAAUUUGGCGGUAAAGUUAUGUUUGAAUAAUCCGGAACAAACAAAACUUUUUUGUCAAUACGUAUUUCAAUUAGCGAAAUACGACCAGAAUUACGAUAUCAGGGACAGAGCCCGAUUUUUGCGACACUUUAUUUUCGACGAGGAAAACGGUUCGGACAAACAAUUGCCGAAAUAUGCGAAAAAAAUUUUUUUCGCACCCAAACCCGCACCGACUCUUUCCUCGAGAUUCAACGGCUCCGAAUACCAACUUGGCACACUCUCACAUUAUCUGGGCAUGCCCUGUAACGGCUACAGACCUUUACCUUCAUUUCCCGAAGUCGCGCCUGAUGCUUCCGUUCGUGACGUCGCUGAACCGAUCGUUACUCAUGAUCUCAAAGACAAGCGUCAUACGAAAAAAGAUAGAAAAGACAAAAAGGGGAAAGAGAAGGAAAAAAGCUUUUACAGCGAGGACGAAAGUUCCCCUGGCGAAGACGCCGCAGAUUCGAAAUCCGAAGACGACGAGACUUCUGAAUCUUCUUCGAGCGGAACAUCCGACUCGGAAAGCGGCGAUUCAUCCGAAUAUUCAUCCGACUCGGAUAAAUCCAAGGACGAAAAACCCCGUAGAAUUAAAAAUUCGGAAAAAUCCGAGAGUUCGGAAAGCGACAGUGAUGAAAGCGACGAUUCGGAUUCCGACGAUAAAUCUGAAUCAUCCGAGAGCGAAGUUGAAACUAAACCGAUCCAUAGCAAAGAAAAAAUAGCGAAAACAGAAGUGAAGGAGAAACCGAAAUCUAGUCUGGACUUGUUGUUAGAUUUGGAUAACGCCUUGCCAAUGACCCCAAUAAUGACUCCGAGCCUGGGAGGUUUUCUCACACCCAUAAGCGUCAACCUCAGCAACGGAAUCCAGGAAGUCUCAGCUUCGUUUACGCCACUGCGAAAAACUGAGAUUUUGAAUAAAAUAACAGGGCGCGGGUUGCGGGUUGAGUCGAGAUUCACGAGGUCGCCACAUCUGGUCAGCGCGAGCAUGGCCAACCUUGAACUAACUUUUACGAACGAGGGUAACGAGCAGAUAAAAGACGUUCGAACAGGCAACAAAAGUCUAUCGUCAGGAAUGUCGAUUCACGAUUUUUCUUCGGUGCCGAAUCUCCAACCGAACAUGACAGUUUCCUCAACCUUGGGCGUGAAUUUCAACGACUCGAGUCAACCGGCAAAAUUUAAUAUCGAUUUUACCAUUGCCGAGGAAAACCAUUCUAUCCCAGUGAACAUAAAAGCUCCGAUCGGCGAAAUAAUCAGAUCCGUUAUCUUGCCGGAGAGCAUGUUCAUCGCCGAGAAAGAUAAACUCAAAGGGAUGAAUGAACACUCCACCAAGUUAUCGUACAAAGGAGAGAAAAAAGAGCUGACCCAAAAAAUUUUCGAAGUCGCCAACGUUGCAGUCGUUUCCAUUGAAGAUAGUUUACUCAGAUUUGCUGCUCACACGUUAGCAUCCAAAUCGCUGAUCCUCGUGUCCGUAAAGUUUUUGGAAAACGAUCAACUCGAGCUGUGUGUCAAUUGUGAGAAAAUGGUAAUAGGCUCAAUGCUAUUGAACGAGAUUAAAGUUCACUUGCAGUGAAUUUCUCGUAUGGAAACUCGGAGUCAAUAAUUGGCGACUGUUGCUUUAACUCGCGUAAUAGUUAUAAAAAGGACUUUUGGUCGGAACUCAAAAUAAUAACUGAAACAUCCGAACAAUGUUGAUAUCGUAGAUGUCUGAUAAGAUAGCGGAAAGUUACUCGAGCUCGAGAGUGAUUUUCCUGAAUGAAGGACGCAGUGAAGAUUACCUCUCAACAUUCCAUUUGAAAUGGGCUUUGAAAAAGCGAUGUCAUCGAUCGGAAAACGCGAGAUAACGUCCAACAAAAUUUCCGUACCAAUUCCCCGAUUUCUAUAUUCCGAGCGGACAUAAGCGGUGUCAAUUGUUGGCAUCGAAUAUUCGAUCCCAGUGGUAUGAAUCUCCGUAUCUGGAAGAGGACAGAAAAUUGAGAGCAAAAAUGUUUUUUAUUUGACAGUUGAAUUUUUAUGGCCUAGUUGAUUAUCGGUACAAAAACUUGACACGUUUAGAGAGAUAAGGAGAUAAGAUUUCAAGCGGCCUGUCGGUCACAGAUUUCAUCCGAAAUGUCCACGUGCUUUCGUGAGAAUGAUGGGACACGAAUUUCGAAAAAUAAAGGAACGUCAAGUUUGCAAGUUUUUGAUAAA
Molecule: RNA transcript, 4281 nt
Organism: Venturia canescens
Lineage: Eukaryota; Metazoa; Arthropoda; Insecta; Hymenoptera; Ichneumonidae
Gene: rb
Gene name: adaptor related protein complex 3 subunit ruby
Exons: 12
Source: RefSeq, a predicted model, not a curated record